Molecule: long non-coding RNA, 3286 nt
Organism: Oreochromis niloticus (Nile tilapia)
Lineage: Eukaryota; Metazoa; Chordata; Actinopteri; Cichliformes; Cichlidae
Exons: 2
Source: RefSeq, a predicted model, not a curated record
AUCUUCAGGUGAAUCACUGCAGGGCCCCAAUGGAUUUCAACAUGCCCUCCAGUUUGCCACUCCUCUGGAGGGCCGCCACAUCACUGCCACCACCGAUGCACUCCUCACCGAUGAAUACUCGUGGGACCUGAACCAAUACAAGAAAAAAGGAAGAAAUUCUCUUUCAGCUUCAUGCACAGGUGCGUCUUCCUCCUCUCACUGCCAACCAGCUGCAACAGGAGACUGCCCCUCCCUGAUCCUGGUUCUGCCUGAGGUUUCUUCUUGUUAAAAGGGACUUUUUCCUUCCCUCUGUUGCCAAGUGCUUACUCACGGGGAGCAUCUGAUUGUUACUGUAGGGUCUUUACCGUACAAUAUAAAACACCUUGAGACGACUGUUGUUGUGAUUCGACACUAUAUAAAUAAAACUGAAUUGAAUGUUUUAUACUGUCUAUGUGUAGACUGCAUUAGAGCAUGAGCACCCACAGACAGCUGCAGCCUCCUCCAACAGAACAACACAACACACAGAGACAGAUCCCGAUUGACUGUGGGAUGUACCAGAACAAACCCAAUUCACAGAAUAAGCACCAAGUUCAUGCUGUAGGAAUUUUUGGGCUCUUCCCCCAAGUCUCACUUGCCAAAUGAGUGAUUCAAAUACAGCUGACAGCAUAAAAACUUAUAGUCAGUGAUGUAAAGUAACUUGUUAUGUGCAUCAGCGUUAUACAGUUAGAUUAAAAAUUCAUGUUAUUUCAAAUACUUAAAAUUAAAAAGAAAUGAUAUUGCAAUAACCAAUGGAAGUGUUGGUGAUUACAGAGGGGUUACAUCCAAGUCUAUUCUUUUCUGGCUUCUCUGUGGAUUAUGUCUUCUCAGCCUGUGGCAAUGCCUCGUCAGCAAAGCCACUGGGAUAAAUUUGAGACAUCAUAAAGGGUAGGAACAUGUGAAUGCUGAAUUGUUAUAGUGAGAGCAGUAUAAUAAGAACCAAAGUGAUAUGUUGGAAUUCAGAACGGCAUCUGUCACUGAUUUAAUUGAGUCUCACCGGUUUUCUUCCCCAAGCCACAGGGACAAACUACAUGGAGGCCGGAGGCAUAUUAUGUAUGCAGCUGUUUCCUUGUCUGGUGCAGGGAAAGCUUCCAGGCAUAUGAGAGACUCCAGGGACCACAUGAAUCUUUGUUAAACAAGGGAUGUUAUAUCCGAACAGGUAGCCUGAUUUUUAUUUAUUUUUUGCAUUUAGAUGUGGUUGGAACAUAUAUGAGUGUUAGCAUUUUUGUUUCCAAGAACUGAAACUGAAGGUGUGAAGAAUGCAAGUUCUCACGCCACACAUCUUCAAACAUACUCAAACAUCAGAUCAAGCUGCCUCUCACAGUGAGUCACAGGAUGCAUGGUACAGAUUAAAAAGAAUAAAUGAUGCCCCUUACUCCGUGUUUGUGGGUCAGACUCAACCAUCAUUUUGAUCUCAACUACUCUGUUAUAAAGUUUCAUGAUUAUAUCUUGCGCAUUUUUAUUGGGUUUUUUUUUGUGUGUGCCCAUAAGUACCCAUAACUGUUUUACAGUUGUGGGUAUUUUUGUGUACACCAGUCCCUCUAAGCUAUGUUAUUACCAGCUGCAUCACCGAGGCUGGUAUUGUUUACACCCUGUGAUCUUGUCUGUCUCUUUGUGUGUAUGAUCGUGGCAAAAUGUGCUGCUAGACACACUUACUUUAACCACAAAAGCAGUUUUGACGACUUCAGCAGUGUUUGUGUGUCUGUCUGUCCGUUUCUGUGCAUGAAGAGAUUUUAUCAACAUGAAGCUGUUGCAGCACUGUAUAAAAUGUUAAUGAGGUGAAGCUGAAAAAUGAAAGAAUUGGAAGAUGAGUGUGGACUGCUUGUUAUACAGCACUUUUUUUGCUAUACCGGAGCACUCAAAGUGCUUUACACAACAUACCUCAGUCACCCAGGCAGUUUUUUUCUACACCUUUCUAACAUUUAAACUGGUAAGCAAAUAUCUUGCUCAAAGAGACUUUGACAUACAGACUGGAGCAGCGAGGGAUCAAACCACCAACCUUCCAGUUAGUGGAUGACCUGCUCUACCUCCUGAGGUCCAGCCACCCCAGGCGUUGGUAUUUAUCUGCCCCGUCAUCAAGCGAACAGAAAUGCACCAUCUGAAUGUUAGUCACACAAAAUAUGAUCCCUUUCUGGACCCACUCUGUAACCACGACACUAGUAUCAGAUAACUCAUGUUCUACCUUGUGUUCAUUUCUUGCGGACAUUAGUAGUAGGCAUUUGUUCAUAUAACAGUUAUUUAGUUUCUGAAAACCAAUCUUAUAUUAAAAUAAGUGACGGGUCAUAGGAUAUUUUGACAUUAGUUGUACCUCUCAUUGAAAUUGAAUUUUGAAACACUGGAUUACUGUCAGCUAGCUUGUAUCUCACUCCUAUGAAGCUACUCUGACACCAUUAGAAAAAGUUAUAUUUAAGUACCUUUUAAUUACUCACCCACUCUUAAGUCUUUGUACUAUACAUCUUUCUACUCUUAAAUUGUGUCUUUUGCAUACAAGCCUUUGUUAAAAAAAAUCUAAAUCCCAACACGAUUGAAUAAUAACUAUAUUUUGUCAUUAAAAUCUGAAAAAAAGAAGAGAAACAUCUUUCAGGUAAAACUGUGUUGAUGUUUAUUGAAAUGUCUUGUACAUUUUCAGAUGGGCAGAAUCAGAUUUCUUUCAGAAUGGACUUGUGGCUUCUUGUGUUUAAACUCUGCUGGGAAAUCUAAAACUUCCUCUGUAUUUCUUACUAAACCCCUCCACACUGAUUCAUAUACUGUUUGUUCAUUAUAUUCUGAAUUAGCUCUUACAGGGAAAACCCCCCCCAAAACAUCUUUGGAAGGUCGAGAAGAGGACACAGUUAUGUGAAGUAGCCCUUUGUAGCUCUUAAUUCUGGGAAAUUAUCACAACCAGGAAAAACAGUACAAAUACCAGCCCUUUCCCCCACAGCGGGAUGGACAUUUUUCUGUUGUUGUGACACUUUGUCGAUACAAGUGCUAAUUAUCUGUCCAAAAUAACAAGUCAAGAAGAGUUUGCAAUAAACCUAAAUUGAUUCUGACAACCAACCCAAAGAGCCAGUCUACUGCAGAGACUGACUAUCUGACAGAAUGCCACAAUCAAGUACAAUAAAAACAGGACAGAAAAAUAUUCAUUUUUGCGGGAAAUGAAAAUAAACAGUGCCACCCCCCAAAAGAAAGUACAGACUCUUACUUGUCUGCAAAAUAUUUCACACUUCAACACCAAAAUGACCAAGUUCCUCUUUUACAUUCCUACAUUUAAGGAAGUUUUAUUUCAGCGAAA